AUGCACGCUGGCGGCGUGCCUAAUACAUGCAAGUCGAACGGAAAGACGCUGAUCUUGCGUGUUGCAUGUUUGCGGAGGACGGGAGUGUAACAUGUGUAUACCCUCCCUAUAAGUCUGGGAAAACCUCGGGAAACCGGCGCUUACCCCGGAUAAUCUUCUGAACCGCGGUGGUGAAUAGUAAAAGACGGUCUUGCUGUCAGGUAUAGCUGGAUCCGCGCUGCAUGAGCUAGUUGGUACGUUAACGGCUUAUCAAGGCAACGAUGCAUAGCCGAACUGAGAGGGGGAUCGGCCACACGAGAGCUGAGCCACGGUCCAGACUACUGCGAGAGGCAGCAGUAGGGAAUCUGCCGCAAUGGGCGAGAGCCUGGCGGAGCAGCGCCGCGUGAGUGAUGAAGGUCUUCGGAUCGUAAAACUCUGUUAUUAGUGAAAAACAUAUGUGUAAGUAACUGUGCACAUAGUGACGGUACCUAGUCAGAAAGCCACGGCUAACUACGUG
This 496-nucleotide ribosomal RNA is filed under the name uncultured bacterium. RNAcentral describes it as "partial 16S ribosomal RNA". It matches the Rfam family "Bacterial small subunit ribosomal RNA", at positions 29 to 507 of the family's 1533-position model. The record is from RNAcentral.